RNAcentral lists this long non-coding RNA (194 nucleotides) under Fukomys damarensis (Damara mole-rat). Its description in RNAcentral is "lncRNA (ENSFDAG00000027191.1)". The record is from RNAcentral. Lineage: Eukaryota; Metazoa; Chordata; Mammalia; Rodentia; Bathyergidae.
GCCUUUGUGUAGAUGCUAUCUGAAGCUGUCCAGGUGUGCGGACUGUAGAAUCAGGAGCCUAUGAUUUACAAGGCAACACAACAAACCUCGUAAAAUGCAAUAAUUGCUCACCCUUAAGAGUAACUGAAUGUACUGAUUCAAAAAUCCAGCAGUGCACGUGGAAAAAGAAUCAACUAGAUCUAUAUCCAUCCAGC